Molecule: ribosomal RNA, 1135 nt
Filed under: uncultured bacterium
Lineage: Bacteria
Description: bacterial SSU rRNA
Rfam family: Bacterial small subunit ribosomal RNA
Source: RNAcentral
CAAUCCCGUCUGGGGUGAGUUCGCGUCCGAUUAGCCAGUUGGCGGGGUAACGGCCCACCAAAGCGACGAUCGGUAGCCGACCUGAGAGGGUGAUCGGCCACAUUGGAACUGAGAGACGGUCCAAACUCCUACGGGAGGCAGCAGUGGGGAAUAUUGGGCAAUGGGCGAAAGCCUGACCCAGCAACGCCGCGUGAGUGAAGAAGGCUUUCGGGUUGUAAAGCUCUGUUAUAGGGGACGAAGGAAGUGACGGUACCCUAUAAGGAAGCCCCGGCUAACUACGUGCCAGCAGCCGCGGUAAUACGUAGGGGGCGAGCGUUGUCCGGAAUGACUGGGCGUAAAGGGCGUGUAGGCGGCUCUUUAAGUCUGGAGUGAAAGUCCUGCUUUCAAGGUGGGAACUGCUUUGGAUACUGGAGAGCUUGAGUGCGGAAGAGGUAAGUGGAAUUCCCAGUGUAGCGGUGAAAUGCGUAGAGAUUGGGAGGAACACCAGUGGCGAAGGCGACUUACUGGGCCGUAACUGACGCUGAGGCGCGAAAGCGUGGGGAGCGAACAGGAUUAGAUACCCUGGUAGUCCACGCGGUAAACGAUGAAUGCUAGGUGUUGCGGGUAUCGACCCCUGCAGUGCCGGAGUAAACACAAUAAGCAUUCCGCCUGGGGAGUACGGCCGCAAGGUUGAAACUCAAAGGAAUUGACGGGGGCCCGCACAAGCAGCGGAGCAUGUUGUUUAAUUCGAAGCAACGCGAAGAACCUUACCAGGUCUUGACAUCCAAUUAAGCCCAUAGAGAUAUGGGGUCUCUUCGGAGGAAUUGAGACAGGUGGUGCAUGGUUGUCGUCAGCUCGUGUCGUGAGAUGUUGGGUUAAGUCCCGCAACGAGCGCAACCCUUAUGGUCAGUUACUAACACGUAGAGGUGAGGACUCUGACAAGACUGCCGGGGACAACCCGGAGGAAGGUGGGGACGACGUCAAAUCAUCAUGCCCCUUAUGACCUGGGCUACAAACGUGCUACAAUGGUGACAACAAAGAGGAGCGAGACCGAGAGGUGGAGCGGAUCUCAAAAAAGUCAUCCCAGUUCGGAUUGUGGGCUGCAACCCGCCCACAUGAAGUUGGAGUUGCUAGUAAUCGCGGAUCAGCAUGCCGC